UACGAAGGGUGCAAGCGUUACUCGGAAUUACUGGGCGUAAAGCGUGCGUAGGUGGUUGUUUAAGUCUGCUGUGAAAGUCCAGGGCUCAACCCUGGAAAGCCGGUGGAAACUGUCGAGCUAGAGUCCGGAAGAGGCGAGUGGAAUUCCUGGUGUAGCGGUGAAAUGCGCAGAUAUCAGGAGGAACACCGAUGGCGAAGGCAGGUCUCUGGGCCGAUACUGACGCUGAGGAGCGAAAGCGUGGGGAGCGAACAGG
This 253-nucleotide ribosomal RNA is filed under the name uncultured bacterium. Its description in RNAcentral is "partial 16S ribosomal RNA". It matches the Rfam family "Bacterial small subunit ribosomal RNA", at positions 524 to 776 of the family's 1533-position model. The record is from RNAcentral.